Long non-coding RNA from Arachis duranensis, 492 nucleotides. RefSeq lists it as uncharacterized. The record is from RefSeq and is a predicted model, not a curated record. The transcript has 3 exons. NCBI's taxonomy places the organism in Eukaryota, Viridiplantae, Streptophyta, Magnoliopsida, Fabales, Fabaceae.
GACGAAAUGGGGCAACCGUCGACGCAGGCACUGCAGUGAAGUCAGAGGAGCAGCUCCGCAAUGAGAUCGAUGAGCUUCUCCGCCAACAGCGCGAGAUUACGGAGCGGCUUCAUGAUCCUUGAGGCCUUCGAAGGGGCCCCUUCUCAGCUCCUCGCCGACAACCCUUUUCCUCCCCAAUGCCAAAACUAAUCUGAUGGUGGCAAGCUUGACAACAGGGGUCCUUUCUUUGUCAAUGGACUUCCUUUUGGAGCCAUGGACGCAAUAAAAGAUGCAUACGGAGCUACUGUACAAAUUAAAGAUCUUCCAAGGGAUGGGCUUAACCUAACAUUGAAAAUAAAUCUGUCAAAGCUUCCUGCAAAUCAAGAUCAAAGGCAAUCCUUUUUGGUGAAAAUUGCAUCAGUAAGGGAGGUUGUCCUUGGUGCACCAUUGAGAGUAAUUUUAAAACAUCUUGCUUCAAGAACUGUUGCUCCAGACAUUGAUCCGCUUGUCGCC